GUGUCAGCCGCCGCGGUAAUACGUAGGGGGCUAGCGUUGUCCGGAUUUAUUGGGCGUAAAGAGCGUGUAGGCGGCCAGGUAGGUCUGGUGUGAAAACUCGAGGCUUAACCUUGAGAUGUCAUCGGAAACCAUUUGGCUAGAGUCCGGAAGAGGAAAGUGGAAUUCCUGGUGUAGCGGUGAAAUGCGCAGAUAUCAGGAAGAACACCAAUGGCGAAAGCAGCUUUCUGGGACGGUACUGACGCUGAGACGCGAAAGCGUGGGGAGCGAACAGGAUUAGAAACCCCAGUAGUCC
This 292-nucleotide ribosomal RNA is filed under the name uncultured bacterium. RNAcentral's name for it is "partial 16S ribosomal RNA". It matches the Rfam family "Bacterial small subunit ribosomal RNA", at positions 505 to 796 of the family's 1533-position model. The record is from RNAcentral.